ACAACCUGAAGAGCCACUCCACUCCUAAUUUACCCAUGUACUUCCAGAACUCCACCGGGAUCUCGUCAGGCCUGGUCACUCGACCCCUACUCAUCCUACGCAAAGCCCCCAUGACCUCCUCCGCCCUAAUGCGCCUGCAGUACCCAAGGUCUCUAUGUUGCUCUGAAUGCCCCAACUCCCCUAGCUCUAGUUACGAUCCCCCUCCUCGUUAAGUAAGUCUCAAAAGUACGCCUGCCACCUCUGCUUGAC
This 249-nucleotide long non-coding RNA is filed under the name Nicotiana benthamiana. RNAcentral's name for it is "long non-coding RNA (NBEN_LNC009476)". The record is from RNAcentral. Lineage: Eukaryota; Viridiplantae; Streptophyta; Magnoliopsida; Solanales; Solanaceae.